UAAACUGGGGAGAAUAAGCUAAUGGG
Molecule: non-coding RNA, 26 nt
Filed under: Homo sapiens (human)
Lineage: Eukaryota; Metazoa; Chordata; Mammalia; Primates; Hominidae
Source: RNAcentral